CCCCUGAUGGUCCAAUGGUUAGGGCUCGACACUUCCACUGCUGGGGUCUGGGUUCAAUCCCUGGUCAGAGAA
This 72-nucleotide transfer RNA is filed under the name Ovis aries (sheep). It matches the Rfam family "tRNA". From Rfam's summary of the family: Transfer RNA (tRNA) molecules are approximately 80 nucleotides in length. Their secondary structure includes four short double-helical elements and three loops (D, anti-codon, and T loops). Lineage: Eukaryota; Metazoa; Chordata; Mammalia; Artiodactyla; Bovidae. The record is from Rfam by way of RNAcentral.